This 674-nucleotide ribosomal RNA is filed under the name Syncrossus beauforti (chameleon loach). Its description in RNAcentral is "partial 12S ribosomal RNA". It matches the Rfam family "Bacterial small subunit ribosomal RNA", at positions 512 to 1495 of the family's 1533-position model. Lineage: Eukaryota; Metazoa; Chordata; Actinopteri; Cypriniformes; Botiidae. The record is from RNAcentral.
CCACCGCGGUUAUACGAGAGGCCCUAGUUGAUAAAUACGGCGUAAAGGGUGGUUAAGGAAAGCACACAUAAAGCCAAAGAGCCUCUUGGCUGUCAUACGCUCCUGAGGACACGAAGACCUGAUACGAAAGUAGCUUUAAUAUGCCCACCUGACCCCACGAAAGCUGAGAAACAAACUGGGAUUAGAUACCCCACUAUGCUCAGCUGUAAACCCAGACGUUUAAUCACAACAGACGUCCGCCAGGGUACUACGAGCGCUAGCUUUAAACCCAAAGGACUUGGCGGUGCCUUAGACCCCCCUAGAGGAGCCUGUUCUAGAACCGAUAACCCCCGUUAAACCUCACCACUUCUAGUCAACCCCGCCUAUAUACCGCCGUCGUCAGCUUACCCUGUGAAGGAUUAAUAGUAAGCAAAAUGGACACAACCCAAAACGUCAGGUCGAGGUGUAGCGCACGAAGUGGGAAGAAAUGGGCUACAUUUUCUAAAAUAGAAUAAUACGAACAGCAUCAUGAAAACUAAUGCUUGAAGGAGGAUUUAGUAGUAAAAAGGAAAUAGAGUGUCCUUUUGAACCCGGCUCUGAGGCGCGUACACACCGCCCGUCACUCUCCCCCACAACCGCACAGUAAAAGUAACUUAACAACAGAGCACAAAUAAGGGGAGGCAAGUCGUAACAUG